Molecule: ribosomal RNA, 253 nt
Filed under: uncultured bacterium
Lineage: Bacteria
Description: partial 16S ribosomal RNA
Rfam family: Bacterial small subunit ribosomal RNA
Source: RNAcentral
UACGAAGGGGGCUAGCGUUGCUCGGAAUCACUGGGCGUAAAGGGCGCGUAGGCGGAUCUUUAAGUCGGGGGUGAAAGCCCGGGGCUCAACCCUGGAAUGGCCUUCGAUACUGGAGAUCUUGAGACCGGAAGAGGUAAGUGGAACUGCGAGUGUAGAGGUGAAAUUCGUAGAUAUUCGCAAGAACACCAGUGGCGAAGGCGGCUUACUGGUCCGGUUCUGACGCUGAGGCGCGAAAGCGUGGGGAGCAAACAGG